This 253-nucleotide ribosomal RNA is filed under the name uncultured bacterium. RNAcentral describes it as "partial 16S ribosomal RNA". It matches the Rfam family "Bacterial small subunit ribosomal RNA", at positions 524 to 776 of the family's 1533-position model. The record is from RNAcentral.
UACGUAGGGACCAAGCGUUGUCCGGAAUCAUUGGGCGUAAAGCGCGCGUAGGUGGCCAUUUAAGUCCGCUGUGAAAGCCCUGGGCUUAACCUGGGAAUUGCAGUCGAUACUACUCAGCUAGAGUAUGGGAGAGGGUAGUGGAAUUCCCGGUGUAGCGGUGAAAUGCGUAGAUAUCCGGAGGAACACCAGUGGCGAAGGCGGCUUCCUGGACCGAUACUGACGCUGAGGCGCGAAAGCUAGGGGAGCAAACGGG